This 922-nucleotide ribosomal RNA is filed under the name uncultured Bacteroidota bacterium. RNAcentral describes it as "bacterial SSU rRNA". It matches the Rfam family "Bacterial small subunit ribosomal RNA", at positions 1 to 916 of the family's 1533-position model. Lineage: Bacteria; Pseudomonadati; Bacteroidota. The record is from RNAcentral.
GGAUCCAGACUUUGAUCCUGGCUCAGGAUGAACGCUAGCUACAGGCUUAACACAUGCAAGUCGAGGGGCAGCGGGAUUGAAGCUUGCUUCAAUUGCCGGCGACCGGCGCACGGGUGAGUAACGCGUAUCCAACCUUCCGUACACUCAGGGAUAGCCUUUCGAAAGAAAGAUUAAUACCUGAUAGUAUCUUAAGCACACAUGUAAUUAAGAUUAAAGAUUUAUCGGUGUACGAUGGGGAUGCGUUCCAUUAGGUAGUAGGCGGGGUAACGGCCCACCUAGCCAACGAUGGAUAGGGGUUCUGAGAGGAAGGUCCCCCACAUUGGAACUGAGACACGGUCCAAACUCCUACGGGAGGCAGCAGUGAGGAAUAUUGGUCAACGGACGAGAGUCUGAACCAGCCAAGUAGCGUGAAGGAUGAAGGUCCUACGGAUUGUAAACUUCUUUUAUAAGGGAAUAAACCCUCCCACGUGUGGGAGCUUGUAUGUACCUUAUGAAUAAGCAUCGGCUAACUCCGUGCCAGCAGCCGCGGUAAUACGGAGGAUGCGAGCGUUAUCCGGAUUUAUUGGGUUUAAAGGGAGCGCAGACGGGUCGUUAAGUCAGCUGUGAAAGUUUGGGGCUCAACCUUAAAAUUGCAGUUGAUACUGGCGUCCUUGAGUGCGGUUGAGGUGUGCGGAAUUCGUGGUGUAGCGGUGAAAUGCUUAGAUAUCACGAAGAACUCCGAUUGCGAAGGCAGCACACUAAUCCGUAACUGACGUUCAUGCUCGAAAGUGUGGGUAUCAAACAGGAUUAGAUACCCUGGUAGUCCACACGGUAAACGAUGGAUACUCGCUGUUGGCGAUAUACUGUCAGCGGCUUAGCGAAAGCGUUAAGUAUCCCACCUGGGGAGUACGCCGGCAACGGUGCAACUCAAAUGAAUUGACGG